CAUUGGGUAUCUAAGUUUAAGUGUUGGAUUCUUACUCCAUUGAUGUGGUUACACCCCAAUGG
RNAcentral lists this transfer RNA (62 nucleotides) under Schyzocotyle acheilognathi. Its description in RNAcentral is "tRNA-Lys". The record is from RNAcentral. Lineage: Eukaryota; Metazoa; Platyhelminthes; Cestoda; Bothriocephalidea; Bothriocephalidae.